This 509-nucleotide ribosomal RNA is filed under the name Helicobacter pylori. RNAcentral describes it as "partial large subunit ribosomal RNA". It matches the Rfam family "Bacterial large subunit ribosomal RNA", at positions 1668 to 2186 of the family's 2925-position model. The record is from RNAcentral. Lineage: Bacteria; Pseudomonadati; Campylobacterota; Epsilonproteobacteria; Campylobacterales; Helicobacteraceae.
UGAGAUGAGUAUUCUAAGGCGCGUGAAAGAACUCUGGUUAAGGAACUCUGCAAACUAGCACCGUAAGUUCGCGAUAAGGUGUGCCGCAGCAAUGCGUUCUCAGCAAAGAGUCCCUCCCGACUGUUUACCAAAAACACAGCACUUUGCCAACUCGUAAGAGGAAGUAUAAGGUGUGACGCCUGCCCGGUGCUCCAAGGUUAAGAGGAUGCGUCAGUCGCAAGAUGAAGCGUUGAAUUGAAGCCCGAGUAAACGGCGGCCGUAACUAUAACGGUCCUAAGGUAGCGAAAUUCCUUGUCGGUUAAAUACCGACCUGCAUGAAUGGCGUAACGAGAUGCGAGCUGUCCCAACCAGAGAUUCAGUGAAAUUGUAGUGGAGAUGAAAAUUCCUCCUACCCGCGGCAAGACGGAAAGACCCCGUGGACCUUUACUACAACUUAGCACUGCUAAUGGGAAUAUCAUGCGCAGGAUAGGUGGGAGGCUUUGAAGUAAGGGCUUUGGCUCUUAUGGAGA